AAUACCUUUAUCGACUCCUUGAAAAAUUCCAAAUCUCACUUUACAUUUCAAAAAAUUAUUUAUUUAUCUCACACGCGUCCCUCGUUUAUCUCACACGCGAUCAAGUGCAGGCCAAGCACCCUUCCUUCCCCUCCAUCAUCGCAGCGUGGUCUUUUCCAUCGCGAUGAGAUUAAGUUGUACCGUGGCGUUUUCUGUUCUCCGCAGCUGAGCAUUGUUUACGGGGGAGGUGGUAAGAGGCCACGAAUCGUGCUCUCUGCCAGCUAGUGAGAAUAUAUUUAUUCGUAUGUUAAAAUGUCGACAAGCGGUCAAGAGUGUACUCUCUUUAGGCCAGCAGGCGGUUCUACGCUGAAUUGCAGAUACGGUGCGGUUUGAUGGUAGUCGCGAAACCGAUUCGACGCCGAUAACAAUUUACAUUCGCCGAUACCGAACUGGGACACGAUGCAGGUGCAACGGCAAAGGAGAAGAAGCAAUGGGCCCUGGGAUUGAGCGAAGCGAUGCAUUUAUCCAGGCCUGUACUUUGAGGCACGUUUACCUCGGCCGGGGAUAUAGGUUGCCUUUUAGAUCUCCUGCCGACCUCUUUCCUCCUGUGGCCAUUUUUACGGAAACGAAAUUCACAGAGUGGGCAGAGCCGAUUCCAGUCUCAGAAGUUCAUCCACCGUGUAGCCGAGGUGCUAUUGUUCCAGAGCCAGCCGACGGAGACCAGACGAUGAGUGGAGGAGGAAGAGGUGGAGGAAGAAGCUAGCAAACGAGGUGGAGGAGGAUGCUAUCGAGAAAGAGGUGUAUCUACAUAAAUAUUACAGUUUCAUCCAUUCCGUAUGAAAUAUGCUGUAUAAUGAAAAAAACAAUCAAAAAGACACAUCUUUUUGAAUAUCAGAAAUCUCAUCUCGAGCAGGAUACUUCCGCGAUUACAUUCGACAAUCUUCUGGAUAUUCCUCUUCAACGAAAUGUCAGCGACUUCUUGAAAUUCCAAUAGAAGAUCUCGAAACGAGGCAAUUCGACUGUUGACAUACGAGCGGCAAAGAGGGGUUAACGGUUAGGGAAUGAUUAAUAAAGAUGCGCGGGCACGCGUUCCACCGGAUAUAAGGCCCACACAGGCCCACCGUGGACGUGUAUGUACUUACUCGAGUCUACAAACGCGUCCCUCUAUCGGCUGCUUCUCGCCAACUACAGAAGAAAACACGGCACAGGGCCGCGGUAGGUGAGCCGGUGUGUAUCAUCGGGACGCGUGCGCUCGUGUAUCCUCAAGGAAUACGCACACACCUGGGCCAGAAGAAGCAGUAACAAGAAGAAGAGGAAGAAGAAGCGAAGAAGGAGAAGAAAGAGAGGGAGGAAGGGGAGGAGGACGCGCGUCCACGUGCAUAACUCGGACAUAAAACAGGCUCGCUCGCGCAAACCACGGCCCCGUGCUGGGGUACGGAUGGACUAACGGAUGGACAGACAGACAGACGGAUCGACACACAGCACGCGCGCAUGAAUAUGUAGGAUGUCUGGAAAAAAAGACGAGGAAAAGUGGGGGCGGCAAACACUCGACGCGCAUAGUAAUCGAAGCCGCGUCAUGCCAAUAACAUCGCGCGCCUAAUGUUCGAUCGAUCGAUCGGCUGACUCGCCACUACAGGGUUUUCCUUGACUCUAUGGUAAGUAUACGCCGGUGCGCACGCGCGUCGCGCAUGCGUAUACGCGAUAGGUUGGCGCGCGCCACAGUCCUCCGAAGAGUUGAUUUACGGUGUCUUUACAAGAAAAAAAUAGUGGAAAAAACAUUCGAUAGAAAAGAGGUAAGAGGAAAGGAGAUAAGUAGUGAAGAUAUAGGGAAAAAAGAUGGGGAGAAAGAAAAAAAGUGGAUUGGAACUGAUGGUAGCGGGGAAUGAAACGAGGGGAGACGCGUGUGCCGCGUACGAAGACACGCGCGAAUAGCCGUGCUAAAAUGGGCGCGGGUAGGUGGCUUACACACGAGCCGGAGUUUACAAUUUUCUGCACGAUGCUCGUUCGAAUGCCUGUAACGUUGCGGAUGCCAAUUGCCGAUAAUUCAAGCGUGUACCUACCCACGAUAUAACGCGUGGCUGCAGACGCUGACAGAUUGCUGGGUACCGGGACAAGCCCUUUCAGCGCCGGCCCUCUUUUAGGCGCGCCACGUUUUGGCGCGUUCAGUGUACCAAGGGAUUUAAAGCGUUGCGGUCGAGAUAAAAAUUCGAUUUGGACUUUGAUCCUUAUGCAACGUAUUAUCUAUGAUGUACGUUUUUUAAAUAGAAAUAUUAUGUUACUCGUAUUACCUGAAUCUGUAUUAUUGGACGUCUUAACCCAUUCUAUCAAGAAUGAGUUAGAACAAUUUAAAAUUUUGGAAUCUGAUCGAUAAUUGAUAUUUUAUGUCAUACGAUUUAUAAUUUAAAAGUAUUUUUUUUUUCUAGAAUAUUUAUCAAAUCGAACUAUACGUUCCAAGUAAUAAACAUAAAUCACAUUUUACAACAAA
Apis cerana (Asiatic honeybee) is the source of this 2464-nucleotide long non-coding RNA. RefSeq lists it as uncharacterized. Lineage: Eukaryota; Metazoa; Arthropoda; Insecta; Hymenoptera; Apidae. The record is from RefSeq and is a predicted model, not a curated record.